GCCUGCCGGUCGCCAUAAACCCGUAGAUCCGAACUUGCGGUCGCUCCUCGUGCAAGCUCGACUCUGUGGGUCUGUGUCGGCCUCGGCCU
This 89-nucleotide microRNA precursor is filed under the name Alligator mississippiensis (American alligator). RNAcentral's name for it is "microRNA ami-mir-99b precursor". Its record names the gene ami-mir-99b. The stretch from base 11 to 80 matches the Rfam family "mir-10 microRNA precursor family". Rfam says of the family: In this case the mature sequence comes from the 5' arm of the precursor. The record is from miRBase by way of RNAcentral. Lineage: Eukaryota; Metazoa; Chordata; Crocodylia; Alligatoridae.